Molecule: ribosomal RNA, 426 nt
Filed under: uncultured bacterium
Lineage: Bacteria
Description: partial 16S ribosomal RNA
Rfam family: Bacterial small subunit ribosomal RNA
Source: RNAcentral
GUGAGGAAUUUUCCGCAAUGGGCGAAAGCCUGACGGAGCAAUGCCGCGUGAAGGAUGAAGGCCUAUGGGUUGUAAACUUCUUUUCUCAGAAAAGAAUUAUGACGGUAUCUGAGGAAUAAGCAUCGGCUAACUCUGUGCCAGCAGCCGCGGUAAGACAGAGGAUGCAAGCGUUAUCCGGAAUGAUUGGGCGUAAAGCGUCUGUAGGUUGUUUUAAAAGUAUUCUGUCAAAGAUUAGGGCUUAACCCUAGAUAGGCAGAAUAAACUUUUAAGCUAGAGUUUGGUAGAGGCAGAGGGAAUUCCCGGUGGAGCGGUGAAAUGCGUAGAUAUCGGGAGGAACACCAAAGGCGAAGGCACUCUGCUGGGCCAAUACUAACACUGAGAGACGAAAGCGAGGGGAGCAAAUGGGAUUAGAUACCCCUGUAGUCC